RNAcentral lists this ribosomal RNA (435 nucleotides) under uncultured bacterium. RNAcentral describes it as "partial 16S ribosomal RNA". It matches the Rfam family "Bacterial small subunit ribosomal RNA", at positions 29 to 507 of the family's 1533-position model. The record is from RNAcentral.
AGCGAACGCUGGCGGCAGGCUUAACACAUGCAAGUCGAACGGGCAUCUUCGGAUGUCAGUGGCAGACGGGUGAGUAACACGUGGGAACGUACCCUUCGGUUCGGAAUAACUCAGGGAAACUUGAGCUAAUACCGGAUACGCCCUUUUGGGGAAAGGUUUACUGCCGAAGGAUCGGCCCGCGUCUGAUUAGCUUGUUGGUGGGGUAACGGCCUACCAAGGCGACGAUCAGUAGCUGGUCUGAGAGGAUGAUCAGCCACACUGGGACUGAGACACGGCCCAGACUUCUACGGGAGGCAGCAGUGGGGAAUAUUGGACAAUGGGCGCAAGCCUGAUCCAGCCAUGCCGCGUGAGUGAUGAAGGCCUUAGGGUUGUAAAGCUCUUUUGUCCGGGACGAUAAUGACGGUACCGGAAGAAUAAGCCCCGGCUAACUUCGUG